Long non-coding RNA from Raphanus sativus (radish), 1122 nucleotides. RefSeq lists it as uncharacterized. NCBI's taxonomy places the organism in Eukaryota, Viridiplantae, Streptophyta, Magnoliopsida, Brassicales, Brassicaceae. The record is from RefSeq and is a predicted model, not a curated record. The transcript has 5 exons.
CCGUAUACGACGCCAAAGCUUUUUCUAUGUGCUCUGAAACGAAAACGAUGGAGUGUCGAGGUAUUUCGCUGACUCACAUGGAUAUGACAAAUCUGUUUCUUUAUCUUCUCUUGCGUCGCUCUGUGUUCUCUUCUAAUUUAUUGAAACGCUCAGAGUUAAAGAUCUAUCUCGCCUUUAUCGUUUUCUUAACUCCAAAGACCGACGUGAAGCACAAUCUGACAUUGAAUGCGGGUUUACCCCUUGCAAGUCGGUGUAUCUACACCUAUAUAAAGAAGUCCGGACGCUGCUCCUCCAAGUCGGGUUACUCAGCUGACGUGUAGUUGAUUGAGGCAAUAUCUGAAAGAGAACAUAGCCUUGGAGAUCUUAGCAUCGGAAUGGCAUCGGUUCGCUACUUAGCCGAGCUUGGAAGAGAAUCGUCGCUUUAUUGAAGAAGCCAAUUAACUUACCUGAUUUACAUGUGAUGCGUUCUCUCAAGUGAUAGUAGAUGAGGACGUCAUGUGAUGCAGGACAAGGUCUCACUAAUGAACAGACAAGAAACAACAUGGAGAGUAAUCAUGAAGUCUAUGCUAUGUUACAAGAAAAUCACUGUCUCCUAGGAAUGGUGUAGCUGGCUGCUGCUAAGAUUUUUACUCAGUUCUCAUCUUGGUUAUCAUCUUCUUCCUGCCACUCACAAACACGUUUGAAUUCUUGGACAUGGUGGUGAUACACGAGGUAUUGUUGUGGGAACAAGAAAAGACUGAAUCGAGUGGACAAGGAAAAAAACAAUGUCCAUCAACUCCCUGUCGGGAGCAAAAAGGCCUGGUGUUUUGGCUGGUUAAGCUACUGCGACCAUAGUGACUGAUGUGCUUUCUUUUACUAGAAAACUUAUAUUUAUACAUCUGCAGACGAAGUCAUCAAAUUCUCUUAUGGACAACUACCAGAAAAAUGGGGGCUUCCUUGGUUUCAAGCAAAACGGGUUAAUAGAAAAAGUGAUACUCAUGUGUUCAAAAGAAAAAACUGACAUUCAAUUAUUCUAAUUUAUGUUUAUAGAUUAAGAAAUUAAGAAUUAUAAGUUCAAUCUAUAUAUUGUUUACAGUUGUGCUUUCCUAAAGGGAAAAUUGGUCUUAGGCAUUUUUUUGUAUG